UGUGUUCCCGACGCGCACCUGUUUGCCAUCACGGACACUAUUUAGGCCUGUCUUUCUGUUCAUUCGUCCUGGCUUCCUUGUUUGCGCUCCCCGUCAUCCUUCCUCGUCGUCAAGCUGUGUGUCUUGUCACAUUGGACCUCCCUGUGGAUUCCCCCUUGCCUUCCUGGAUUUCGACCUCACGCCUGCCCACUUACUACGACGCCGCGCUCCUGUCCUCGACCACCUGCCUGUCCUCCAACACUCGAGCCUGCCUUGCCCUUAUUUGGACUUCCGCCUGGAUCAACACGCACUCUCAACAUCCUCUGGCAACCAUACUCAGAUAAGUUCCACAUUUAGUCACACUUCAUCUCUUUGGUUUAAUUACACAUCUCAUUCACACACCAAGCUGUCAAUAAAACACGCUGACAGCUAAACGA
Nerophis lumbriciformis (worm pipefish) is the source of this 416-nucleotide long non-coding RNA. RefSeq lists it as uncharacterized. NCBI's taxonomy places the organism in Eukaryota, Metazoa, Chordata, Actinopteri, Syngnathiformes, Syngnathidae. The record is from RefSeq and is a predicted model, not a curated record.